AUUUCUAGAGAUAGAAAGUUACUUCGGUACAUCGGUGACAGGUGGUGCAUGGUUGUCGUCAGCUCGUGUCGUGAGAUGUUGGGUUAAGUCCCGCAACGAGCGCAACCCCUAUUGUUAGUUGCCAUCAUUCAGUUUGGGCACUCUAGCGAGACUGCCGGUAAUAAACCGGAGGAAGGUGGGGAUGACGUCAAAUCAUCAUGCCCCUUAUGACCUGGGCUACACACGUGCUACAAUGGUUGGUACAACGAGUUGCGAGUCGGUGACGGCGAGCUAAUCUCUUAAAGCCAAUCUCAGUUCGGAUUGUAGGCUGCAACUCGCCUACAUGAAGUCGGAAUCGCUAGUAAUCGCGGAUCAGCACGCCGCGGUGAAUACGUUCCCGGGCCUU
Molecule: ribosomal RNA, 385 nt
Filed under: uncultured Streptococcus sp.
Lineage: Bacteria; Bacillati; Bacillota; Bacilli; Lactobacillales; Streptococcaceae
Description: bacterial SSU rRNA
Rfam family: Bacterial small subunit ribosomal RNA
Source: RNAcentral